GGGAAAGUAGCUCAGUGGUAGAGUGCUUGCCUUGCAUGCAUGAGGCACUAGGUUCGAUUCCUCAGCACCA
This 70-nucleotide transfer RNA is filed under the name Dipodomys ordii (Ord's kangaroo rat). It matches the Rfam family "tRNA". Rfam says of the family: Transfer RNA (tRNA) molecules are approximately 80 nucleotides in length. Lineage: Eukaryota; Metazoa; Chordata; Mammalia; Rodentia; Heteromyidae. The record is from Rfam by way of RNAcentral.